Molecule: ribosomal RNA, 1495 nt
Filed under: uncultured bacterium
Lineage: Bacteria
Description: bacterial SSU rRNA
Rfam family: Bacterial small subunit ribosomal RNA
Source: RNAcentral
AGAGUUUGAUCCUGGCUCAGAAUGAACGUUGGCGGCGUGGAUUAGGCAUGCAAGUCGGACGGGGCCCGGGCCACCGGGCACCCGUGGCGCAAGGGUGAGUAAGGCGACGGCAACCCCCCCCCAGGCCGGGCAUAGCCGCGGGAAACUGCGGGUAAUUCCCGGCGCCCUCGCAGCGGGGCAUCUCGCCGCGAGGAAAGGUGCGAUUCCGCCUGGGGACGGGCCGUCGUGGUAUUAGGUCGUUGGCGGGGUGACGGCCCACCAAGCCUCGGAUGCCUACCGGGCGUGCGAGCGCGGCCCGGCACACUGGGACUGAGACACUGCCCAGACACCUACGGGUGGCUGCAGUCGAGAAUCUUCGGCAAUGGGCGCAAGCCUGACCGAGCGACGCCGCGUGGAGGAUGAAGGCCCUCGGGUUGUAAACUCCUGUCGAGGGGGAAUAAGGGCGCAGGAAGACUGCGCCUUGCGUGAUCCCUGAAGGAAGCACGGACUAAGUUCGUGCCAGCAGCCGCGGUAAGACGAACCGUGCGAACGUUAUUCGGAAUCACUGGGCUUAAAGCGCGUGUAGGCGGGCCGGCACGUCGGAUUGCUGAAAGCCCCCGGCUCAACCGGGGAACGGGCACCGAUACGGCCGGCCUGGAGGGGGGUAGGGGGCGCCGGAACUUCCGGUGGAGCGGUGAAAUGCGUUGAGAUCGGAAGGAACGCCCGUGGCGAAAGCGGGCGCCUGGACCCCACCUGACGCUGAGACGCGAAAGCCAGGGGAGCGAACGGGAUUAGAUACCCCGGUAGCCCUGGCCGUAAACGAUGGGCACUGGGUAGGGGAUUCGCCGAUGGAUUCCCUGCCGCAGCGAAAGCGUGAAGUGCCCCGCCUGGGGAGUAUGGUCGCAAGGCUGAAACUCAAAGGAAUUGACGGGGGCUCACACAAGCGGUGGAGCAUGUGGCUUAAUUCGAGGCUACGCGCAGAACCUUAUCCCGGGCUUGACAUGCACGGAUUAGCCCCCGGAAACGGGGGUCAGGCCGCAAGGUACAACGUGCACAGGUGCUGCAUGGCUGUCGUCAGCUCGUGCCGUGAGGUGUUGGGUUAAGUCCCGUAACGAGCGAAACCCCUGUCUCUAGUUGCCAGCACGUCACGGUGGGCACUCUAGAGAGACCGCCGGCGUCAAGCCGGAGGAAGGCGGGGAUGACGUCAAGUCCUCAUGGCCCUGAUGCCCGGGGCCGCACACGUGCUACAAUGGGCCGGACAAUGCGUCGCGAAGGCGCAAGCCCCAGCUAAUCGCCAAAACCGGCCCCCAGUUCGGAUCGCGGGCUGCAACCCGCCCGCGUGAAGCCGGAAUCGCUAGUAAUCGGGGAUCAGCACCGCCCCGGUGAAUGGGUUCCUGAGCCUUGUACACACCGCCCGUCAAGCCACCAAAGGGGGGGGCACCCGAAGUCGUCGGCGCCGCGAGGCAGACGCCGAAGGUGAAACUCCUGGUGGGGACUAAGUCGUAACAAGGUAUCC